Bicyclus anynana (squinting bush brown) is the source of this 3666-nucleotide long non-coding RNA. RefSeq lists it as uncharacterized. NCBI's taxonomy places the organism in Eukaryota, Metazoa, Arthropoda, Insecta, Lepidoptera, Nymphalidae. The record is from RefSeq and is a predicted model, not a curated record. The transcript has 3 exons.
UGAAUACAUACAAUCAAUAUUGUAGAUAAAUGUAGUCGUUAUACGGGAAAUUAGAUUUUAUUUGAUUGGUAAUUAUUAAAAUCUCUAUUACAGGACGAGAACAUCACAGACAUUCAAAAAAGAUGAUUUCAAAAUAUCAGUCGCGACACCCUCGCCGCUCGCGCCAUCUCACUAAUUAUCUACGGAGAACAAGCGACGCUAACUAGUGCCAACCAUUGUGAUGCUGCGGGAGAGAAGGGCAUGAUCUGGCGAGUCAUCGUUUAUCUUAUGAUAUCAUUGUGACAGUCGUAACGUCCGCUAGCUAGUACCACAAGAGCGCAGUUGUCCGCUCUGCUACAGGCGCAGUGUCCGGCGCAUGAUGUGCGGCGGCGGAUCUGUGCUGUGAGUUGUGACGGCUGAUUAAAUUAUUGGAACGGUCUGGGGGCCAUUCAUCAUCCACGCUUCCCUGCCACCUCAUCGCCGAUAAUGACACACGGCGAUACCAUGGGCCACUCCUGUGCACCUGACGACAACUGGAGCGGAUUUCGAAAAUAAUUCUUCAAUGCCACACCACUUCUUUUAGUCAUUUAGCUGGAAGAACAAAUGGAAAACUUAUGCCUAUAAAAAUGUAUCAACUCGCAGAAAACAUAACAUGUGACACAUUUUUUUGUUUGUGAUAAAAUGAUAGAGCAUAGUAAUUUGAUAGUUCUCAGGAACGCAAACGACUUCUGAGUUACGGGAAACAUUGAACUCUAAAGAUUUCGAUUUGAAAGUCCCCUAGCUACACAGGUUUCUGGUAGCCGGCGCUACGCAGCGCGGUGGAGUCGGUUGAUUUGUGUUACACCUCGCGCCAGGUGUCACAAAUAUCGCGGUGUCAGCGACAGCGCUCCGCCGCGUAAUGAGAGCGCGACAGUCGGGAUUGAUUGCAGCAGUCGCGUGCAUCGGAAUCAUUUCCGCUCGGAAGUUGUAAGCUCGCUCGCUCGCUCGUCGGCACCGCGCGUGUUCAUCUCAGCGCGAACGCGUGACGCGUAUUGAUACCGCUCCGAGCCCGCGAUGUCACGAAUUCGCCGGAAACAUUUAUUUGCACGAUCGCUGAUAAUAUGUUACUGGGUUAAUUUUAACACCUAUUGCUAUUUUGUUGCUCUCUAAACAAGUAAAUGCAUCAUGUAUUCAUAUAUUUAACUAUAAAAUAAGUCAAACUGUAAAGUCAAGUUUCCGUCGUAGUACUAUAACUGCUGGCGUACGUGCUAGGCUGUGGACGUAUUAGGCUGGGAGCUAUUCCACCUGGACGGGGAUCGAACCUACGGCCUCUCGGUGUUCUCUCUUAUGCAUAACCGUCUGCCACCGCGGCCGGCGAGUGACGUCACAGCGCACAGGUGGAUAGUACACACUGUGUUGCUGCAUGUUAAAGCAAAGUUCGAUUGUGUUCUCUAAUUUUUCUAGUAACAGCUGCUUUACAUUGUGUGACAAGAGUAGUAUUUGUGUAACUUAAGAAACCUCUGUAUACCAAAGGAUAUUUUUAAUACUUAUAGCUUUUGCCGAUGCCAAUUAUCGUCUGGCGGUAGCCAUCAGCAGCUGUGGUUACUUACCGCCCUGCCGACAAAGACGUACCGCCAAGCGAGUUAGUGUUCCGGUACGAUGCCGCGUAGAAACCGUUAGAGGUAUCGGUAGAAUAAAAUUGUACCUCUUAAAAGUAAGCCCACUUCAAUCUUAUACGGCAUCGUCACUUAAUAUUAGGUGAGAUCGCAGUCAGUUGCAACUAACCCGAGGCCCAGACCUGUUUUCAAACAACAAAAUACACAGGCACGGGAAACCCACAUUUGAGCCACUUUCAUAACUCUCAUUAGAGUCGAAGCAAAAAGCUAAACUAUUCUCAAAACUGUCUCCUACAAAUUCUGUUUUGUAUAAACAGUUGUUGUGUGCACAAACCAUGUACCUACCCCUGCAUUGCAUAUCACUGCUCCAGUUCGUACUACGACACAGUUAAUUAUCUCGCAAGUAAUCAUUUAAGUCAACUAUCAAUAAAUAUCUAACCCGCUCAUACUGUUUGACUAAAUCUUACAAAAUAUAUUAUUAAUAUCUCUGUAAUACCCGCAGUGUCUCGAAUACCUUCAGAGCAUUUGUAAAGAAGUCCAUUGGUACAGUUAUUGCGACGGCGGUGGUAAUCUCUCAGUUGAGCGACGAGCUCAUUCACUGGAGCCGGUCAGCUCCCGGAGAUUAGCUCUCACAUUCGUCUCUAAGCCUGUCCACAGUAACCCGUUGACUCAUGUUAUGAAGUCGUAAUAAAGAUAUCCUAGACGGCUUGUGUUACACUAAGUACAUAUUCUUAAGACUGUAGUCAGCAAAAUAAAAGUAUUUAUUUGUUUGAUUGACAAGUAGUUAAACUUGCUAUUGAAAAUUAUAUUUAGUUUUAAUCAAUUACAAACUUUCUACGUAAAUCCCCUUUUCUUUAUCAAUUUACUGAUAGAAAAAAGUAUUAGGAAAUAUGUUACCUUACCAGUGACUUUAUGAAUAUAUUUUAUCGAAGGUUGUCUUUGUUUCUUUGUCUAACUUUAUUUAAAUUUUAUUUAUUUAAUAGUUUAAUCACGCUGUUGUAAUCGUAAAUAAAAGUAAUACAGUGAAAAGAUUUAGCGUGGGUCCCGAAGGUGGUCCCAAAUAAAUUACAAAUAUAAUAAUUAUGUAGUAGACGCAAUUAAUCCAUCUAAACCAAGUUUAAUUUUUUUUAUUUCAUUUAACUUAUAACCAAAUUAAAGAUACGCAAAGUGUCUUCGAAAAAGAAACCUUUUUCAAGUGACGGAGGGUUUGAGAGAGGCUCGCUAAGGAGGCUGUACAUUGUACAGUAGGACUCAAACGGCGAGGAAUGCGCUGAAUUAAUCGUCGAGCGUUUUAUUAAAAGAGUCAACAUUCUCGGCCGUACAUCCCGGGCCGGGGCCAGGGCCGGGGCCAGGCGGAGUUACUCACAAUUCUCGUUUAGAAUUAAACGGAUUAAAACUUGUUUAGUGUCCAAAUAACUGAUUAUGUUCCGAGCGGAGGGCGCUGAGAAGGGUUGUUAGCUCGAAGGGUACGAAAUCUAUUUAACUGACAAAAAUGUAACGGAGCGGCGGAAGCUCCGCUUUCAGCGAACUUUGUAAAUUAGGGGAUGAAUGCUUUCGAAUUUUUUCAACAAUUCUUGUCUAUACUUGUAGAUUAAUGUUAAUUUGUUAUUUCAGAAAAAAAAACAUGUUAGCGGGUUGCGGUGUAACCUAAACUAAAUGUAAAGUGAGAAACUUACUACCAGAACGAUAAGGAUAUUCAGGAAGUCCGUUUUCUUCUGUAUGCAGUGAUUUGCUUAUAUCUAAUUGAUUAAUGUCAAUUAAAAUAACCUCGUUUCAGUUAAUCAUUGCACUGUGUUAUGGACUGUUUUUAAAAGCUUUUAUUCAAUUGCAGUGUAGGUAUAUAUUACGGUGGAUUUUUUGAAUUCAAUUUUGAAGUAGAUAUCUUCAACCGAUUGUUCGUGCCACAGCUGAUGGAGCGAUCGGAACGAAAUACCGACUUAUUUCAAUGGGACGAUUGAAUCUUUAAUUUGGCAUAUUUUGCCGUUAUUAGAAUAAAAAUUAUUGGAAUUGAAUUCUUGAGUUCGAAUUCGACUACGUGAAUCAAUUUGACCGCUCAUAAAAUUAGGAAGUGAAAAAGAGAAGAUAUUAUAAU